RNAcentral lists this ribosomal RNA (1372 nucleotides) under uncultured bacterium. Its description in RNAcentral is "bacterial SSU rRNA". It matches the Rfam family "Bacterial small subunit ribosomal RNA", at positions 28 to 1381 of the family's 1533-position model. The record is from RNAcentral.
GAUGAACGCUGGCGGCGUGCCUAAUACAUGCAAGUCGAGCGAACGGACGAGAAGCUUGCUUCUCUGAUGUUAGCGGCGGACGGGUGAGUAACACGUGGAUAACCUACCUAUAAGACUGGGAUAACUUCGGGAAACCGUAGCUAAUACCGGAUAAUAUUUUGAACCGCAUGGUUCAAAAGUGAAAGACGGUCUUGCUGUCACUUAUAGAUGGAUCCGCGCUGCAUUAGCUAGUUGGUAAGGUAACGGCUUACCAAGGCAACGAUGCAUAGCCGACCUGAGAGGGUGAUCGGCCACACUGGAACUGAGACACGGUCCAGACUCCUACGGGAGGCAGCAGUAGGGAAUCUUCCGCAAUGGGCGAAAGCCUGACGGAGCAACGCCGCGUGAGUGAUGAAGGUCUUCGGAUCGUAAAACUCUGUUAUUAGGGAAGAACAUAUGUGUAAGUAACUGUGCACAUCUUGACGGUACCUAAUCAGAAAGCCACGGCUAACUACGUGCCAGCAGCCGCGGUAAUACGUAGGUGGCAAGCGUUAUCCGGAAUUAUUGGGCGUAAAGCGCGCGUAGGCGGUUUUUUAAGUCUGAUGUGAAAGCCCACGGCUCAACCGUGGAGGGUCAUUGGAAACUGGAAAACUUGAGUGCAGAAGAGGAAAGUGGAAUUCCAUGUGUAGCGGUGAAAUGCGCUGAGAUAUGGAGGAACACCAGUGGCGAAGGCGACUUUCUGGUCUGUAACUGACGCUGAUGUGCGAAAGCGUGGGGAUCAAACAGGAUUAGAUACCCUGGUAGUCCACGCCGUAAACGAUGAGUGCUAAGUGUUAGGGGGUUUCCGCCCCUUAGUGCUGCAGCUAACGCAUUAAGCACUCCGCCUGGGGAGUACGACCGCAAGGUUGAAACUCAAAGGAGUUGACGGGGACCCGCACAAGCGGUGGAGCAUGUGGUUUAAUUCGAAGCAACGCGAAGAACCUUACCAAAUCUUGACAUCCUUUGACAACUCUAGAGAUAGAGCCUUCCCCUUCGGGGGACAAAGUGACAGGUGGUGCAUGGUUGUCGUCAGCUCGUGUCGUGAGAUGUUGGGUUAAGUCCCGCAACGAGCGCAACCCUUAAGCUUAGUUGCCAUCAUUAAGUUGGGCACUCUAAGUUGACUGCCGGUGACAAACCGGAGGAAGGUGGGGAUGACGUCAAAUCAUCAUGCCCCUUAUGAUUUGGGCUACACACGUGCUACAAUGGACAAUACAAAGGGCAGCGAAACCGCGAGGUCAAGCAAAUCCCAUAAAGUUGUUCUCAGUUCGGAUUGUAGUCUGCAACUCGACUACAUGAAGCUGGAAUCGCUAGUAAUCGUAGAUCAGCAUGCUACGGUGAAUACGUUCCCGGGUCU